This 440-nucleotide ribosomal RNA is filed under the name uncultured bacterium. Its description in RNAcentral is "bacterial SSU rRNA". It matches the Rfam family "Bacterial small subunit ribosomal RNA", at positions 338 to 795 of the family's 1533-position model. The record is from RNAcentral.
CCUACGGGGGGCAGCAGUGGGGAAUAUUGCACAAUGGGGGAAACCCUGAUGCAGCAACGCCGCGUGAGCGAAGAAGGCCUUCGGGUCGUAAAGCUCUGUCCUAAGGGAAGAAAAAUGACAGUACCUUAGGAGGAAGCUCCGGCUAACUACGUGCCAGCAGCCGCGGUAAUACGUAGGGGGCGAUGGUUAUCCGGAAUCACUGGUCGUAAAGGGUGCGUAGGUGGCCAAUUAAGCCAGGGGUGAAAGGCUCCGGCUUAACCGUAGUAAGCCUUUGGAACUGAAUGGCUUGUGUGCAGGUGUGGAGAGUGGAAUUCCGAGUGUAGCGGUGAAAUGCGUAGAUAUUAGGAGGAACGCCAGUGGCGAAGGCGACGCGCUGGACUGUAACUGACGCUGAAGCGCGAAAGCGUGGGGAGAAAACAGGAUUAGAUACCCUAGUAGUC